ACGAACGCUGGCGGCAGGCCUAACACAUGCAAGUCGAACGAAGGCCCGGCUUCGGCCGGUGUCCUUAGUGGCGGACGGGUGAGUAACGCGUGGGAACCUGCCCUUUAGUUCGGAAUAACAGAGGGAAACUUCUGCUAAUACCGGAUACGCCCUACGGGGGAAAGGCUUCGGCCGCUAAAGGAGGGGCCCGCGUCCGAUUAGCUAGUUGGCGGGGUAACGGCCCACCAAGGCUACGAUCGGUAGCUGGUCUGAGAGGAUGAUCAGCCACACUGGGACUGAGACACGGUCCAGACUCCUACGGGAGGCAGCAGUGGGGAAUAUUGGGCAAUGGGCGAAAGCCUGACCCAGCCAUGCCGCGUGGGUGAAGAAGGCCCUCGGGUUGUAAAGCCCUUUCGGCGGGGAAGACAAUGACGGUACCCGCAGAAGAAGCCCCGGCUAACUCCGU
Molecule: ribosomal RNA, 445 nt
Filed under: uncultured bacterium
Lineage: Bacteria
Description: bacterial SSU rRNA
Rfam family: Bacterial small subunit ribosomal RNA
Source: RNAcentral